This 553-nucleotide ribosomal RNA is filed under the name uncultured Nitrososphaerota archaeon. Its description in RNAcentral is "bacterial SSU rRNA". It matches the Rfam family "Archaeal small subunit ribosomal RNA", at positions 325 to 879 of the family's 1478-position model. The record is from RNAcentral. Lineage: Archaea; Thermoproteati; Nitrososphaerota.
ACGGGGUGCAGCAGGCGCGAAGCCUUUGCAAUGUGCGCAAGCACGACAAGGUUAAUCCGAGUGUUUCCUGCUAAAGGAAUCUUUUGUUAGUCGUAAAACCACUGAUGAAUAAGGGGUGGGCAAGUUCUGGUGUCAGCCGCCGCGGUAAAACCAGCACCUCAAGUGGUCAGGAGGAUUAUUGGGCCUAAAGCAUCCGUAGCCGGCUCUGCAAGUUUUCGGUUAAAUCCAUUUGCUUAACAAAUGGGCUGCCGAAAAUACUACAUAGCUAGGGAGUGGGAGAGGUAGACGGUAUUCGGUAGGAAGGGGUAAAAUCCUUUGAUCUAUUGAGGACCACCUAUGGCGAAGGCAGUCUACCAGAACACGUUCGACGGUGAGGGAUGAAAGCUGGGGGAGCAAACCGGAUUAGAUACCCGGGUAGUCCCAGCUGUAAACGAUGCAGACUCGGUGAUGCGCUGGCUUGUGGCCAGUGCAGUGCCGCAGGGAAGCCGUUAAGUUUGCCGCCUGGGAAGUACGUACGCAAGUAUGAAACUUAAAGGAAUUGGCGGGGGAGCAC